UACAGCAGGUCCUCCGGCCCUAAGUGGGACUUCUAGGACCUAUUUAACAGCUGCGUCAGACUAAAAAUGUUAACAUUUUUUUUUACUAAUUAUCUUUUGCUGUUUGGGAUGCUUUGGAACGGUUGCUCAGGAGCCUUGGCCCACACGACCGGAACUGCUGCAACCUUCGCUGGAAUGCGGAGCCCCGCUUUGCCCCCAAGUUUACGGUGCUUCCAGCAUUACUCCUCCCUACAACAAAAUCCCUUCAAACCGAAUCCCCCGCUCCGGAGGACUUUAAAAACUGCAGGACUUCACCCUCUCCAUCACGAAGCCAAGGGAAAUCUGACCAAAAGGAUUUUCUUCCCAAAGGCGAAUACAUGGUUGAGAGCGCCGGCGGCGUGGGGGCCAUUGCCUUUUGUCAUUACGUAACUGUCACGACUCAGAACGGGGCAGAAAACUUACUUCCUAAGUGUCACAGCAAGACCCUAUGCUCGGCGACCACGUGGCCUAACGGAUAAGGCGUCUGACUUCGGAUCAGAAGAUUGAGGGUUCGAAUCCCUUCGUGUCCUCAGGAGCCUUUGGAUCUCUGCUGAUCUAUGACAAGUGUACUUCAGAAGGAUUUUCCAGCAUUUUUCACAAUAGCCAAGAUAUGGAAAGAAAUUGUGUCUGUCAACCGAUGAAUAGAUAAAGAAAAUGUGGUUGUAUAUAUAUACAAAGGAAUAUUAUUCAGCCAUGAGAAUGAAGGAAACCCCUGCCAUUCACAACAACAUGGACCUUGAGGGCAUUAUGCUAAAAGAGGUAAGAAACGUGACUGCAGAAGAGGCGAUACAAGGAAGAGGCCACUAGGUGAAAAAAAGCGAGGAAACAUUCUUCCCUGAAGUCUCCAGAGGGAACACAGCCAUGCUGACAACUUGAUUGUAAUCUUUUGAACUUCAGAACUGUAAGAGAGUAAAUCUGUGUUGUUUUAAGUCACUAAAUUUGUGGUAAUUUGCUACAGCAGCAAUAGGAAGCUAAGACAGAGGUUCUAAGACAUUGAUAUGACUGGGGCUUAAUAGGUGGAAGGAAGCUUGCAGGGCUUUUUCUGGAACAAUUUUUAGAAACCAGAGGCAUUCAUGGGGGCUCUUGUUUUGCUGUCACAGAGCACUGAAGGAUAUAUGUUCAAACUGUGGAGAGAGUCAACAGAAAGAAUUUAGAGUCCCACUGACAGCUGGGACUGCUGUAUUCAGAGACCAGAGGAUUAGCCAUCACACCAUGGGACCUUGGUAUAACAAACCUUCAAGGUUAAGACUUGUAUACUAAUGCAUCUGGUCUGUUGAUCUUUAAAAUGUUUCAGCAUAGAUUCAAUCUAAGGAAUAUUAAGAGAGAGCCUCCUCUAAGGGCACAGUGGAGGCUCUCAGAUGACUAUGAUAGCUAGGGUCUCACUCUAUGGUUUGGAUAUUUUCAGGUCUGUGUUCAGAGUUCUGCAGCCUACAGAGCAUUUGCCUGAGUUCCAGAGGAGAAAAAAGUCACAGGUGGGGCCUGUGACAUAUGAACUCUUAAUCACCCAAGCACAUAAUUGACUUAUAGGGAUCUGAUUGACUUUAGGCCGGCACCAGGCAAAGCAAAAGGCAUCAAGAGGAGAGAUUUUAGGGGGGAGGUGACGGUGAUGGGGAGAGGGAAAUUUUCAGUAGCCAGAGGAAAGAGCAAGGAGUUGGACGUUGAUGGGAGAGAAGAAAUGCAAGUUUAAGGGAGUGUCUAUACAUCAGAGUGUACUCCUGGUUAGGGAAAAUGUGAGGGCAAGGUCACCAAAACUGAGACAAGUCCACUGAGAUUUGAAGUCCAGGCGCUAACCAUUACAUCAUGAGGCCCUUGAAGUUAGGUCUCUACCAAAAGACUGAUGUGUACUCCUAACAGGUCAGUUUAUCUUCAAAAUAAAGUAGGCAACACAUAAGCUUGUGGAGUUUGAACAGAGCCUCUCAUGGGUACAACUCUAGGAUGUACUCAACAAGGGUACUGCUGUGUAGUAGGAACUUUCUCAGGACAGUGUUAGUGUUUGGAAGCCGAUGGAGCACUUUAAGUAGGCUCCAGGAAAGGAAGGACCUGAAUUAGAGGGACUGUAAAACAUGAACACCUAAUCAUUGGAACCAGGAUUCUAAUUUAGCAGAAUCUGAGGAACUCUGGGCAAAAGGCAAAAAGGGCCAUCAGGUGUAAGGGGAAGUAGGGCUAGAAUUCCGGAGGAAGGUAAUCAGAGACAAUCUUCUCUCGGGCAGUGGUUCUAUGUUGCUUUGGUUGUUGACUUGGAAGUAACUAGCAGCGCCUACAGCUAGAUAUGUACAUCUGGCUAACGAUUUAGGAGAACCAUAGGGGGAAAAUUGCUAAGAUGUUGCUGAGAUCCCAAAGAGAUUUGGACUCAAACUGCUAGAUUCAGAGCCCAGAGUGCUAACCGUGGGGUCCUUACAUGAGGAACUUUGUACUUGCUACUGCACUUUAUAUAUAUAUAUAUAUAAUAUAUAUAUAUACAAAUUAUAUAUAUUACAUAUAAAU
Long non-coding RNA from Orcinus orca (killer whale), 2502 nucleotides. RefSeq lists it as uncharacterized. The record is from RefSeq and is a predicted model, not a curated record. NCBI's taxonomy places the organism in Eukaryota, Metazoa, Chordata, Mammalia, Artiodactyla, Delphinidae. The transcript has 5 exons.